UCUAUGGCAUUGAGUGAGGAGAGAGAUGGU
This 30-nucleotide non-coding RNA is filed under the name Rattus norvegicus (Norway rat). Lineage: Eukaryota; Metazoa; Chordata; Mammalia; Rodentia; Muridae. The record is from RNAcentral.